This 300-nucleotide long non-coding RNA is filed under the name Vigna radiata. RNAcentral describes it as "long non-coding RNA (VRAD_LNC005715)". The record is from RNAcentral. Lineage: Eukaryota; Viridiplantae; Streptophyta; Magnoliopsida; Fabales; Fabaceae.
GAUGCUUCUCAUACUUGGGAAUCAGAAUUUUUAUUAGAGAUUUUUUAUUAACAAAUGCCAUCCAGUUUUUUUUUUUUUCUUUUCUUUCUUAAGCCCACUACUAAGUUUUGGGUGUUGCUCCCUACACCUCCCCAAGUGAGACCUGUACCUCCCCAUUAAUUUAAUUUAUUUUAAAAAUAUUCUAUAUCUCCCCAUUAUUUUCUUUAUUUCAAAAAUAUCCUACACCUCCCCACCAGUAUCCUUAACAAUCUUUCUAUAUCUCUCUCUACAUUAAUGGAGCAUUCACGUGGUUCAGAUUUG